GCUAGAUUGCUCUGGCCAAUAGUGUGAAUAAGUAUGUAAAUGGAUAGAGACAGGGAAGCAAACACAAGAUGUACGUGGUUCACCCAGAUUGGUUAUGUCUACGGAGUAGAGGAGUUCUCAUUAAUUAUGAAAGGUUUACACAAGUACAUAGGUUCAAGCUCUCCUUUAGUGAGUUCUAGUGAAUUAUUUAUUACAAAUGAUAUUAGGAAAUAUUGUGGGAGAAUGAUCUCCUUUUAUAGAAGAUAGUUUCUAGCUUGUUCUAACAUUGACACGUGUCGUGUUGUGAUUGGCUUCCGAUGUUGACACAUGUCGUGCUAUGAUUGGCUUCUGAUGUAGACACGUGUCGCACUAUGAUUGGCCUCUUGGUUGGAGGGAAACUCCUAUGGGUCCUUGACGGUAUAACGUUGACCAGAGCUCGGUAGUUUCAGGAUUGGUCAAGUAUGGUACAAACAGUGGUCCCCUAAGUUCCCGAGUGAGGAAAGCUCUUCGGUAGGGGACUUGCAAGAUCCACGCCGCUGAGUAAUCACGAAACUUCUAAGUACCGCAGUGUGGUAUUGUCUUCACUUGCCUUUUCUGUCUCAUAGGUAGAUGUGGCAUCUUCUUUGGAAGUACUUUUCCUUCAUACAAGGGUGGUAUCUUUAACCGGUAGGGAUGCACAAGGUAAUGUAUCAAUUUCAUUUGAAGCUUACUUGUAGUUUCAGGCUUGGUCAAGCGCGAUACAAACCAUGUAGUAGGAGUCCCCCAAGUCGCCGAGCUAGGAGAUCUGCCAAAAGAGGUGACAGACAAGGUAAGCAAUCAGAGCUCUCAUCAAUCAAUCCCAGAUCAGAAGUUUGAUUUCGAGUUCUGGCUGAUUGUUCUCAUUCUCCCUAUCUUACAAGCAGCAUGAAGGAUAAAGAGAAGAAAAAUGAGAAGAGAUGAUAUGAGAUACUUUAGCUUUUGAAGAAAUAACUUUCCACAGGCUUAUUCUUGAACUAGGCUAGAGGGUUUUCUGGUUUCCUCCAGAGAAUAAGGCCGACUCAAGAAUUUGAGGGUCAAAACAAGUCCAUGAAAUCAAAAGUGCAUUCGACCUUGAUGAUACGGGAUACCUUUGCUGUUGACAAAGUAAUAGAUGAAUCGGCACAUGUUCUUUUACGCUUGUCUCCACAUGCUUCCUUGUAUCCUUCUCACUUGCCUUAUCUGUUCCCUAGGAAGAUGUGGUAUCUUUUCUGGAAGCAUAAGAUGUUGAAGAUGAGUACUCAAGAGCAAUGCCAGGUAAGUAAUCAGGCAAGGAGUUCUAGGCAGUCAGUUCCUAACUGGAAGCUUGAUUCCAAGUGCUGACUGAUUGCCCUAUUUCUCCUUGUCUUGCAGGUAAGAACAAUGGCAAAGGAAAAGAUAGGGAAAAAGUAUGAUAUGGGAAACUCUUGCUUUUAACCCUGAUGAUAUGAGAUACUCUUGCUCUGGUGUAGCUUGUUUGCUGAGGUAUUAUCGGGGGGAAAAUAAAUUGAGUAUUUUGAGAGACUCUGCUAAGUGUGCCCUCUCGGAUGUAAAGAAAAGUUGAGCAUUUUUUUAUUUGCAGAUCUGCUUGGCUGUGGAGGAUGAAGGUCGACAUAUAUAGGAAUUGUCCCAAUAGCGAGUGGUAACGCUGUUCCUUUACCCUUCUCGGUCAUAUCAAUGUAGUGGGAGCUGCAAGAUUCAUGUGUUUUAACUUUGUCAGAGCACUUUGAAAAAGUGGUCUGUGGUAUCUGGAAAGCUGAUGUUGCGUGUGAAGAUUGCAAACAAGCUUUAUCCAAGGAAAUCUGGCUCUCGAAGUUCGGAAAGCGAUGCCUCUUCGGUUUUUGAACAAGCAAUCCUGUCAGGGAUCUAGCUCUCAAGAUUCGGAGAACGGUGCCUCUUCGAUUUUUGAGAAACCAAUCUUGUUGGGAGUCUGUCUUUCGAGAUUCGGAGAGCGGUGCCUUUUCGAUUUUAAAGAAAGCAAUCCUGUUGGGAGUUUAUCUUUCGAGAUUCAGAGAACGGUGCCUCUUCGAUUUUUGAGAAAGCAAUCCUGUUGAGACUCUGGCUCUUGAGAUUCAGAGAGCGGUGCCUAUUUGAUUUUUGAGCAAGCAAUCCUGUUGGGAGUGUUUUCUCAAAUGUGAGUAAAGGUUGGGCAUUUUUGCCAGUCUGCCUUGCCACGGAGCACAGAGGUUGACACACAUAGAGACUUUCCAGUUAUCAAGCAGUGGUGCUGUUCCUUUACUCUUGUAGGUAAUGGUAGGGUAUCUGGACCUUCAAAAUUUAUGUGUCUAAACUUUAUCAGAGAUCUUUGGCAAAGUUAUCUGUGGUACCUGAGGAGCUGAUGUUGCGUGUGGGGAUUAACGACAUAUUUUACUUAGGAAAAUCUGCUUCUCAAAAUCCGGAGAGUGGUACCUCUUCGAUUUUUGAACCAACGGCCAUGUUGCCAUUUUUUUAUAGGGGAACCAAUUGUGUGCAAAAAGUAUGUUCAGAGAGUUAUUGCUUGUAGAAAAUUUCCCCCUAUUUUUGUACUUCAGAGAUUUAUUACACCUCAUUUCUCCUUCAUCAUUUCUGAGAAUGUCUGGCCCAUCCAACCGUCGUUUUAACUUGAACUUUGGUGAAAGGGUAGCCAUGCCUUCUCAAGACAACAUAUGGCGCCCAUCCUUCUUAUCCCUUACUGGUCAUCAUACUGUUGGGGACUCUAUGAUGAAGAAUGAUAUGACCGCUGUGGUGGUGGCCAGGAACCUUUUCACUCCCAAAGAUAACAAACUACUUUCCAAACAGUCUGAUGAGUUGGCUGUUAAGGAUUCUCUGGCUCUCAGUGUUCAAUGUGUAGGUUCUGUGUCUAAUAUGGCCCAACGCCUAUUUGCUCGAACCUGCCAAGUUGAAUCAUUGGCGGCUAAAGUGAUAAGUCUCAAACAGGAGAUCAGAGGGAUCAAACAUGAGAAUAAACAGUUGCACAGGCUCGCACAUGACUAUGCUAUAAACAUGAAGAGGAAGCUGGACCAGUUGCAGGAAUUUGAUAGUCAGAUUUUACUUGAUCAUCAGAGGUCUGUGGGUUUGUUCCAAAGGCAUUUAUUGCCUUCGUCUUCUGGGGCUGUACUGCGUAAUGAAGCUCCAAAUGAUUAACCUUAUGUGCCUUUUCCUUCUAGGGUUCUGCCUAGUAUUGAGGCUCCGAAUGAUCACCCUUCGGUGCCUUCUCUUUCUAGGGCUCUGUCGACUGUUGAGACUUCUCAUGAACAACCUUUGUGAAGGCUCCCUCUUGUUUGUUUAUUUUGAUUCAUGUAUAUGUACAUAUUUGUAACUUAUAAGAGAUAUCAAUAAAUAAGCUUUGCUUCAUUUCAACGUAUUGUGUUAAAUACACCAAAGCCUUCUUCACUAAGUUCUUUGAAUUUUUCCUUUUGUUGAAGCUUGUAUGUUGAAGCUUUGUGAGUGAAGCAUGUUGGUUGAGGUAGGGCUCCCUUAAUUUCCUGAGUGAGGAAAACUUCUCGGUUGGAGACUUGAAAAAUCCAAGUCACUGAGUGGUUGUGAGACUUCCGAGUAUCAAGGUGCAGUAGCAUAUGGUAAGAGUCCCCCAAGUCUCCGGUCGAGGGAGUUGACAAAUGAGGCAUUUCCUUUCUAAGUGGUAGCACAAAACUCCUCCUUUAUAUAUAUUUGUUAUGAAAGUUGUUAGGACCAAAGAAAAGGAGGCCUAGGCAAUUUUUUUUUUCGAUUUUUUUUUCUUCAAAUUAUAUAUAUAUAUAUAUAUAUAUAUAUAUAUAUUUAAGCUUUGUAGGUGCAGCUUUAAGGUUGAAGCUUUGUUGGGUACCAUGAAUUGAUUUUGCUUCACACUAUCUUGAUCAAGAGUGUGUGAAGCUUUUGUAGGUGAAGCUUUUAUGGGUGAGGCUUUUGUAGGUGAAGCUUUUGUGGGUUUUGUGGGUGAAGCUUUUGUGGGUGAAGCUUUUUGUAGGUGAAGCUUUUGUGGGUGAAGCUUUUUGUGGGUGAAGCUUUUUGUAGGUGAAGCUUUUGGUGGGUGAAGGUUUGGUGGGUGAAGCUUUUGUAGGUCAAGCUUUUGUGGGUGAAGCUUUUGGUGGGUGAAGCUUUUGGGGGUGAAGCUUUUGGUGGGUGAAGGUUUGGUGGGUGAAGCUUUUGUAGGUCAAGCUUUUGUGGGUGAAGCUUUUGGUGGGUGAAGCUUUUGGGGGUGAAGCUUUUGGUGGGUGAAGCUUUUGUGGGUGAAGCUUUUGUGUUGAAGCUUUUGUGGGUGAAGCUUUUGUGGGUGAAGCUUUUGGUGGGUGAAGCUUUUGUGUUGAAGCUUUUGGUGGGUGAAGCUUUUAUGUUGAAGCUUUUGUGGGUGAAGCUUUUGGUGGGUGAAGCUUUUGUGUUGAAGCUUUGUAGGUGAAGCUUUUGUGUUGAAGCUUUGUAGGUGAAGCUUUGGAGUUGAAGCUUUUGUAGGUGAAGCUUUGGAGUUGAAACUUUUGUUGGGUACCAUGAAUUGAUUUUGCUUCACACUAUCUUGAUCAAGAUAGUGUGAAGCUUAUGUGAAUUUGUAGUUGUCCUCCAUUGGUGAAGCUUUGUUGAAUUUCCCAAUUUCCUUUUUUUUUUUUUGGGAAAUUAGAAAUUUGAAAAUGUGGGAGAGACAACAUAUACAAAUUUUGCUUCCACACUGUUGAGCAAGAGAUUGUGAUGCAAGCCACACCUUGUAGUAGUCGAAGGUUUGGAUGAACCAUAUAAAUUGAAUUUGCUUCGAACAGUCUUCAUCAAGAGUGUGUAAAGCUUUCUACAAGUUGUGAUAUGAGCAUAUUUAUGCAACUUAGUGAGCUUGUUCUUGUGCAUUUACGUUGUGUUUUCUUAGUUAAGUUAGUCUUUUAAGCCAUUUUCUUGUGUUUUCAGGUUUUAAGGGCAAAGUAUGCAAAGUAGUGCAUUUUGGAGCGUUUUGGAGAAAAAUUGAGCUUGGAAUGGAUAUCACAUGCUUGGAGCAAAAUGAGUAUACGAAAUUGAAGAUUUGAAGAUGUGAGGAGUCCUAAUUGAAGAAGGAUUCCUAAUCAACGAAGGAGUCCUAAUUGAAGAAGGAUUCCUAAUCAACGAAGAGUAUAAUUGAAGAAGGAUUCCUAAUCAAAUAUGGAUUCCUAGAAGAAUGAGGAUUCCUACUCAAACAAGGUUUCCUACUUAAAGUAGGAAAGUUAAGCCUAAAGUUUCCUAUUUUGGAUUGAUCUUUCCUAAACCUAGAUGACCUUAAGUUCCAGCAACAUUGAAGGUUUCCUAAGCAUUUUUGGACACAAAGAAAGGUUCUAGAACACCUCUCAUAUACAUCAUUCACGCCAGGAAACACUUCUCCCCUUCUCUGCCGCAGCCAUCACCACCAAUUCUCCAUAGUUCCUGACCAAAAUCACCCCUUGCCGCACCUUCCAUCCAUCCUAAACACUACCAUACCAUCUCCCAUCCAUUAUUCCAUACAUAUAACCCCCAAAAUAUGUCCCCAAGCCUUGUGACGCAACAAAGAGGAAGGAGGAAAUUCGUGGACGCGCUUGCUAUUCAAGUUGGAGCGUCUAGGUGUUUUCUUUCUUUUGUUUUCAAUGUCUAAAUUUGUUUAUCUUUGCUUUGUGCGUAUGAGGAACUAAACCCCCCUUGGCUAGGGGGGGAUUCGAAACCAUGUUUAUGCUUGCUAUAUGAUUUGAUUACUUUCAGUUGCGUUUCAUACGUUGUGAAUUCAAUUUGCUUAUCUAUAUGAAUUAAAACUGAUUUGUGUGUGUUGGUUGAGAGUGCACGCUUAAUUUUCAUGCAUAAAUAUGAUACUAGGAUAUAAGGGAAUUUCAUCUAAUCGUUAUGAACUUAUAUUCAUGAGUAGUAAAGGUUGCUAAUCACAAUCGCGUUAAGUAAAUUUUUGACGUAAGUUUCAUGCAAUUCAUAGUAACAAGUGCCUCGUCAAUGCUUAUGAUUUUUAUAGAACUUAAUGAUCUUUGCUUGUAUCUCUAUUAUGCAAUUCAUGUGGGGAACUUGUGGGGAAUACUUUGGGUUGUCAUAUGCAAUCAUCCGAUUCAAUAACUUUAGGAAAAUCUGAGGGUUAAUUAGUGCAAUUCACAGUUAAUCUGGGGCGUUGAGAAUUCAUGGUUUAUUGAAAAACAAUUGGAAAUCCUUUUUGUAUGCAAGUGUGACAUGUGUGGAGAAGAACCUCCUAGCUAGCCAUUCAUCCAUCUAAUUCACCCAAUUUCGUCUAAAAUAUGUUUAAGUCUUUCUUGUUUUAUUUUACUUGAUUUUCGUCCAAAACCAAACCCCCCUUUACUUUAGAGUGUCUAACUAGUUAGAAUAUGUUUUAGAUUGUGUUUUUAAGUGUUUUGAGUCUAGGAAAACCCAAAAUUCGUCCAAAAGAGUGUUAGAGUUCAAAUCUGCCCAGUUUGUGUUUUUAGGCAAAUUUGAGUGUUUUGAGUUAGAUUUGAGUGUUUUGAGUUGUUUUAGUGUUUUAUAGUUUAGUUUUGCAUUCUUUGAGUUUAGUUUAGUGUUUUAAACUUUGUUUUACGUUUUUGAAUCAGUUUUAAGUGUUUUAGCAAUCCCUCUUAAUUCCCAGCCUAGAACGAUCCCGACUUACAUACUUUGCUACAAUUGAUAAAAGGAUGGUUUAAUUUGUGUGCUUAUAUAUUUCGCAUCAAAUUUUUGGCGUCGUUGCCGGGGAUUAGCAAAGUUGCUAAUCCCUUGGAUUUUUAUUUUGUUUUAGUUGGUUCUAGAUUCUGACCUUGUUUUAUUUCCUUGUUCUUAGGUACUAGUUUAUGACUUGGAGUUCUCAUCCAGUUUGUGAACAUAUCUUGGACUUUGAUGACGAUUUCGAGCGAGAGUUGAGAUGAAAGAGGAAGAAUCCAGAACCUAGUGAAUCAAGUUCAAAUUCAGAGGUCAAAUUUGAGUUUGAGGAAGAAGAACCCGCGACAAGGGUGGGUGAAGUAGUGCAAGACAUGGCAGUGGACAACCGAACAAUCAAGGAGCUUUCCGCUUCGGGAUUGGAUAAUGCCGCACCCUUAUGCAUCCAAUAUCCUGCGGUUGCUUAAGGCAAAACCGAGGAGUUCGAGUUGAAGUCAAGCUUGUUGCACCAUAUUCCGAAGUACCAUGGGUUGUCCAUGGAGGAUCCCAACAAGCACUUGAAAGAGUUCGAGGUGGUGUGUUCAAGCAUGACUCCCAUCAACGUCGACGGGGAGCAUAUUGAAGAUGAAGGCCUUUCCCUUUUCUCUCAUGGAAAAGGCGAAAGAUUGGUUGUAUGAAUUAGCUCCCGGAACUGUCACAUCUUGGGAGAGCAUGAAACGGGCUUUCUUGGAGAAGUUUUUCCCAAAUUCUCGAGUUAUUCUUCUACGAAAAAGGAUAAGUGGAAUUCAGUAAGAUGAAGGUGAAUCUUUUCCUACUUAUUAUGAACAUUUUAAAUCUCUUGUUACUUCAUAUCCACAACAUCAAAUGAAGGAGGUGCUUCUUCUACAAUACUUCUACGAGGGGCUUCUACCAAUUGAACGUCAAAUGCUAGAUGCCUCAUAGGGAGGAGCCUUGGUGGACAAGACCUCUACGGCUACAAAGACUUUAAUUGCUAAUCGAGCGUUGAAUGCUCAACAAUACGAAGGUGUUGGACAAAGAAGCACCCCACGGCAACACCAAGUGAAUGAGGUAAGUGCCAUUUCCGAACUUCAAAAUCAAAUGGCUAACCUUACUACUUUUCUUUCUCAGGUUGUGGAAGGACCAAAAGUACAAAAUGUGGCUGCUUGUGGCAAGUGCUCCAUGCAAGGACAUCUCACGGAUAAGUGCCCAUAAUUGAUUGAGAACGAAGGGUGGGAGACACUUAAGGUCGUGGGUUUUGGGAAUCAAUACCAACCAAGGAAUGAUCCAUUUUCUAAUACAUACAAUCCGGGAUGGAGAGAUCAUCCAAAUUUCAAAUGGAGAGACCCCCAACAAGGCCAACAACAAAUCAGGUUCGUCUAUUGAUAAUGAUCAGAUUUUUCAAUUACUAACUUCUAUGGCGCAGGGUAUGCAAACUAGGGACAAAAAGGUGGACGAGUUGGAGAAGCAAGUAGGGCAGAUUGCGGAGUUCAUGGGGCAAUUCCGAGAACAAGGAAAACUUCCUAGUUCAACCGUUGUGAAUCCGAAAGGAGGCUUUGAAUCUGCAAAGGCAAUCAUGCUAAGGAGUGGAAAAGAAGUUGGAACUGAUCCACAACCAUCUAAAUCAGCCCAAAAAGAGGACGAGAAGUUGCAAUUCGAAGAGGAGGAUCAAGCUAAGGCCACGACAAGGAAGGAAGCACCCUUGCCGCAACUUCCUACAUCCCCUAAUCCAUCCAAUCCGUCCAAAUCAAGUAAGAUGGGUCCAAUUUCGGUUAAUACUAACCAUAUUCCACCCAAUGUACCUUUUCCUCGUAUGUUUAUGCAAUCAAAGAAAGAGGAGGCUGAAAAGGACAUUUUGGAAACGUUUAGAAAUGUUCAAGUCAAUAUCCCCCUUUUGGAUGCAAUUAAGCAAGUCCCGAGGUAUGCCAAGUUUUUGAAAGAACUUUACACCACUAGGAAGAGGAUUUCGACCAAGGAAGUUGUAAAAGUAGGUGAAAACAUCUCAGCCAUCUUGCAACGCAAACUGCCCCCUAAAUGCAAAGAUCCGGGUAGUUUUACAAUUCCUUAUGUCAUUGGUAAUACUCGUUUUGAAUCUGCCAUGUUAGAUUUAGGUGCAUCUAUAAAUGUUAUACCAUAUUCAAUUUAUGCAUCUAUGAACUUAGGAUAGUUGAAAAAUGAUGGUGUGAUUAUACAAUUGGCCGAUAGAUCUAAUGCCUAUCCAAAGGGAGUUUUGGAAGAUGUUUUAGUGCAGGUUAAUCACUUAAUCUUCCCGGCGGAUUACUACGUGCUUGAGAUGGACGAGUCGGACCAUGCCCCUUCAUUGCCCAUCCUCCUUGGAAGGCCAUUCAUGAAAACGGCUCGGACAAAGAUUGAUGUGUUUAAUGGAACAUUGACGAUGGAAUUUGAUGGGGAAGUUAUUAAUUUCAAUCUUUCUGAUUCUAUGAAGUACCCUAGUGAGAGUCAUUCAUGUUUUGCUAUUGAUGUAAUUGACUCUUUGACGCAGGACAAUUUUGAGAAAUUGAAGGACGAUGCACUUGAAUUGGUCAUUGCACGAGGAAUGGACAUGCAAAACGUUGAAGCAGCAACCAUGCACACCUACGGCAUGCAUGAAUUUUCCCUUGCCGUGCCCCCUAGUGAUGGUGUCAUUGAGAUGGUGGCUGCCCUUGAAUCAUUGCCACCACAAUCUGGUAAGUUAUUGGACCCAAUUUUAAGUUCAGUUUCGGUUAAUAAGAUGUUUCCCUCAGUUGUGCAGCCACCUACACUUGAACUUAAGCCAUUGCCUAGUCAUUUGAAGUACGUUUUCUUGGGAGAUGAUGAGAUGUUGCCCGUCAUCAUCUCAUGCUCACUCAUGGCACAAGAAGACGGCAAGUUGGUGAGGGUGCUAAAAGAGUACAAAACAGCAAUUGGAUGGACAUUGGCCGACAUAAAAGGAAUCAGCCCUACUACGUGCAUGCAUCACAUACUUUUGGAGGAGGGGUCUAAAACAUCUCGAGAGGCUCAACACCGACUCAACCCUCAUAUGAUGGAAGUUGUGAAGAAGGAAAUCAUCAAGCUUUUAGAUUGUGGAGUAAUCUAUCCAAUCUCGGAUAGUAGGUGGGUUUCGCCAGUUCAAUGCGUUCCAAAGAAAUCUGGAGUGACAGUGGUAGCAAAUGCCGAAAAUGAACUUGUGCCUACUCGCAUUCGAAUUGGUUGGAGGGUGUGUAUCGACUUUAAGAAGCUAAACGCCACCACAAGGAAGGAUCACUUCCCCUUGCCAUUUAUUGAUCAAAUGCUUGAGAGAUUAGCAGGUUAUGCUUUUUAUUGUUUUCUUGAUGGUUAUUCUGGUUAUAAUCAAAUUGUCAUAGCACCCGAGGACCAAGAAAAAACCACGUUCACAUGCCCUUUUGGUACAUUUGCUUAUCGUCGCAUGCCUUUUGGUUUAUGUAAUGCACCUGCCACAUUUCAAAGAUGCAUGAUGAGCAUAUUUCUGAUUAUGUUGAGAAAAUAAUUGAAGUUUUUAUGGAUGAUUUCAACGUUUUUGGUGAUUCAUUUAAUGGUUGUUUGCAUAAUCUCGGUUUGAUCUUAAAAUGAUGCGUUGAAACUAACCUCGUUCUUAAUUGGGAAAAAUGUCAUUUCAUGGUUAAACAAGGCAUAGUUUUAGGUCAUAUCAUCUCUAAAAACGGUAUUGAGGUUGAUAAGUCAAAGAUAGAUCUUGUACGUCACUUACCCUCUCUUACUUUGGUUAGAGAGGUUCGUUCUUUUCUUGGCCAUGCAGGGUUCUAUCGUAGGUUCAUCAAAGCCUUCUCAAAGGUUGCCCAACCUCUUUGCCGACUCCUACAAAAAGAUGUGGCGUUUGAUUUCAAUGGGGAAUGCACAACAUCAUUCAAUCAACUCAAGGAGUUGUUGACCACGACACUAAUCAUUGUCCUACCUGAUGGAGCCUACCUUUCGAGCUUAUGUGUGAUGCGUCCGAUUACGCUUUAAGGGCUGUUUUAGGACAAAGGAAAGACAAGAGGCCGCAUGUCAUCUACUAUGCCUCACGGACGUUGAAUGAUGCUCAAUUGAACUAUUCCACUACGGAAAAAGAACUUCUUGCCGUUGUCUUUGCUUUAGAUAAAUUUAGAUCAUAUCUAAUUGGUACUAAAGUAAUUGUUUUCACUGAUCAUGCAGCUUUGAAGUACUUGCUCACCAAAAAGGACUCCAAGCCACGGUUAAUUCGUUGGAUGUUGCUACUUCAAGAGUUCGACAUUGAGAUUCGAGAUAAGAAGGGAAGUGAAAACGUGGUGGCUGACCACCUAAGCCGAAUGGUGCAUAAUGAGGAGUCCCUACCCAUUGCUGAGACAUUCCUCGAUGAACAAUUGCUGUCCAUAAAGGUAAGUGAGCCUUGGUAUGCCGAUUUGGUAAACUUUUUGGUGUCAAAAUGAAUUCCAAGCACUUUCACUAGGCACCAACGUGAUAAGUUAAGACAUGAUGCACGGUUUUAUGUAUGGGAUGAUCCAUAUUUAUGGAAAUUUUUCCCUGAUCAGAUUGUACGUCGAUGUGUGCAUGAUUAUGAAUUUCAAUCAAUUCUAAGCUUUUGUCAUACAUAUGCAUGUGGUGGGCACUUUGGCACACAAAGAACAGCACUUAAGGUGUUAUAAUGUGGAUUUUAUUGGCCUAGUAUCUUUAAGGACGCUAGAACUUUUUGCUUAACAUGUGAUAAAUGCCAAAGAAUGGGUAACAUAGGUGCUAGGGAUCAAAUGCCGCAGGUUUCUAUCUUUAAUGUUGAAAUUUUUGACGUUUGCGGUAUUGAUUUUAUGGGUCCCUUUCCUUCCUCAUAUGGUUUCAUGUAUAUUUUGCUUGCGGUUGAUUAUGUGUUAAAGUGGGUGGAAGCAAAAGCCACCUGGACAAAUGAUUCUAAAGUGGUUGCAGAUUUUAUUAGAACUAACAUAUUUGCAAGGUUUGGCAUGCCACGUGUAAUCAUAAGUGAUGGAGGGUCUCACUUUUGCAACCGGACCAUUGAGGCGUUAUUGAGGAAGUACAAUGUCAACCAUAAGGUUUCUACACCUUACCACCCUCAAACCAAUGGCCAAGCCGAUGUGUCUAACCGAGAGAUCAAGCAAAUCCUAGAGAAGACCGUUGGGCCAACAAGGAAGGAUUGGAGCUUACGGUUAGACGACACAUUGUGGGCAUAUCGUACGGCGUACAAAACACCCAUUGGGAUGUCCCCAUUUAGGCUCAUUUAUGGCAAGCCAUGCCAUCUUCCCGUUGAAUUGGAGCACAAAACUCAUUGGGCCAUCAAGAAGUUCAACAUGAAUCUAGAUGCAGCGGGAAGUCAUAGAAAAUUCCAAUUAAAUGAACUUGAUGAGAUAAGGCAUGAGGCGUACGAGAAUGCUAGCAUCUACAAGGAGAAGACCAAAGCUUUCCAUGACAAAAUGAUUCGUGGCAAAACAUUCUCCAUAGGGCAGAAAGUGCUAUUGUUCAAUUCCCGUUUACGUUUGUUUCCCGGUAAGUUAUGUUCUAAGUGGAUUGGACCGUUUGUUAUUACUAAUGUUUUUGUUCAUAGUGCAGUCUAAAUCCAAAGCUUGAAAAUGGGACACGAAUUCAAGGUGAAUGGGCACCGAUUGAAGCCCUAUUAUGAGAACUUUGAGGAGCAUGCCGUGGGCUCUAAUGGGGAGUGAAUGAGUUCUUCGUCUGGCUGCACGACGUUAAAGCAAGCACUACUUGGGAGGCAAUCCAUGCAUUCAACAAAGGAAGACCUAGGAAUCACUCCAAUUCCAGAUUUGCGUUCCUCAAACCCUUCUCUUUGUUGUUAUUUUGUUUCUGCCAUGUUGAGUUGUUUAGUUGCUGUUUGUUUGUUUAUGUGUUUUUGUGUGAGUUUAUGCUUGAAACAUUGAGGACAAUGUUUGAUUUAAGUGUGGGGGGGGGGGGGGAAUAAGUGCUUUUGAUGCAAAUUCGUGGGGUUUUAUCACCCAUAACUUCCAAUGUUGUUCCUUGCUGUUUUUAAGUGGGGUUUAAACUGUUUUGAUGCAUUUUAGUGUGUUUUGACAUAAAAAUCCAAAAAUCUCACAAAAAUUUGAAAAAUUGUUUUGAAAAACCCAAAAAGAGUUGUUCUUGAAUUGUUUUUGUGUGUUUGUUUGUGUCUUAGGUACCUUCUAACACAAUGCUGAGGAUUCAGUUUUUAAUUGCAUGACUGUUAAAGAGAGUUAUAAACAUGGAUGAAAGUUGGUUUACUCUUUGGUUUAUGCUUGGUUGUGGUUAUAACUUAUGAAUUCACAUGCAAUCAUAAAAGAAAAAUUAGUUUUUGUAACAUGCUUGAAGGAAGGACUCAAAUUAACGCUACAACCUUGUGAGACUUGAGCCUAAACGUUUAUUUGGAGAGUUAAUAAUCUGUGCAUUGUUGUUUUCUAAAGUUGUUACAUGAUCUCAUUAUUCUUUGCUUGGUUACUACUUAGAAGGCGUUUCAUCAUUUAGUUCCAAAUGCUAUAACUCAUGCCCAUUUCAUUCAAAGCAUGCUAUUGAUUGCAUAACACAUAUUCAAGAUGAAGUUGUGUAGUGACCUCCAAAGCCAAAUUGUCGUAUGCCCUAAUUCAUUAUAUGUUCAAGUUUAACCCCGUUAAGCCUUGUGUAGCCUAUGUUCUUUGUUAACCCACACUAUCCUCACCUAGCCUAGAUUAGGACCAUCCAUACCCUUGUUCUUGAAGCAUAGUAAGGCAUGACUCAAAAUAAAUUCCUUUUGAUCAAUGUAUUGCAGAAAACAAGUGUGGGGGAAUGGAUUUGUGUGUAUGCCAAGGACUUUCAUGUGGCACGGGUAGAAAAAAAGAAAGAAAAAAAAAUUUCAUGGAAAAUAGAAAGAAGAAAAGAAAAGUUGUGAAAAGUAUGGAAAAGAGUGAAAAAGAUGUGAAAACAAGCUCUAAAGUGUUGAUUGUUGAAGAUAAGGUCCAAAACAUUAAAUUCGGCCCUAAGUGUUGUAUGACUCUUCCCUUUGUAUUUAAAAGUUGAUUUCUGCAUUCUAAAGUGAAUUCUAAAGUUGCGAUUUCAUUACUUUGCUUGCUAUUGCUUAAAGAACGUUUGUUAUCCCUAUCUUUAUUUGUUAACCAAUACCCCAAGCCCCGUUAAAACCCUUGACUUCUAUCUUAAGUGUUAUGUGUUUCAAUUUGUGGAGUUUGAAUUUGGUAUGAGCAUAUGGUGUCACUGGUUCUCGCAUCUAAGUAGUAGCAUUCCAUUCAUGAGAUCAUAUCUAAACAUGCUUAUUAACUCCAGAAAUUGCUUUCUUUGUUAUACAUAUAUGUGUGCGUUUGUUUUCAUGUCUACAUCAAUCUUCUCACAUAUAACUAGUAUAGGGUGUGUAGUCAGAAAAUCUGAGUGAAAAUUGAGUGCAUAUCUUGUAAGGAAUUGAGCAAAUUCUCUAAGGCAUGUUACUACAUUCAAAACAUCGUUUUAGUUGGUUAAUUGUGAACUAGUAAGUGGUAAUUAUGAUUAAGUAUGUGCUCAAGUGUGAAGAUGACUAAAAUAUGUGGGAAUGAUGAUUUUUAAUAUGUCAUGUGCAUUGGAAAUCCCUGAGGCAACGUUGGAAGGUUUAGGUUGUGUUUUGUUUGUGUUGUUUCGUUUUGUUUUCUUUUGUUUGUUUUGUUUUGCUCGAGGACUAGCAAAAGCUAAGUGUGGGGGAAUUUGAUAGGAGCAUAUUUAUGCGACUUAGUGAGCUUGUUCUUGUGCAUUUACGUUGUGUUUCUUAGUUAAGUUAGUCUUUUAAGCCAUUUUCUUGUGUUUUCAGGUUUUAAGGGCAAAGUAUGCAAAAUAGUGCAUUUUGGAGCCUUUUGGAGAAAAAUUGAGCUUGGAAUGGAUAUCACAUGCUUGGAGCAAAAUGAGUAUACGAAAUUGAAAAUUUGAAGAUGUGAGGAGUCCUAAUUGAAGAAGGAUUCCUAAUCAACGAAGGAGUCCUAAUUGAAGAAGGAUUCCUAAUCAAAGAUGGAUUCCUAGAAGAAUGAGGAUUCCUACUCAAACAAGGUUUCCUACUUGAAGUAGGAAAGUUAAGCCUAAAGUUUCCUAUUUUGGGUUGAUCUUUCCUAAACCUAGAUGACCUUAAGUUCCAGCAACAUUGAAGGUUUCCUAAGCAUUUUUGGACACAAAGAAAGGUUCUAGAGCAUUUCUCCCAUUCUCUGCCGCAGCCAUCACCACCAAUUCUCCAUAGUUCAUGACCAAAAUCACCCCUUGCCGCACCUUCCAUCAAUCCUAAACACUACCAUACCAUCUCCCAUCCAUUCUUCCAUACACAUAACCCCCAAAACCUGUCCCCAAGCCUUGUGCCGCAACAAAGAGGAAAGAGGAAAUUUGUGGACGCGCUUGCUUUUCAAGUUGGAGCGUCUAGGUGUUUUCUUUCUUUUGUUUUCAAUGUCUAAAUUUGUUAUCUUUGCUUUGUACGUAUGAGGAACUAAACCCCCUUGGCUAGGGGGGAUUCGAAACCAUGUUUAUGCUUGCUAUAUGAUUUGAUUACUUUCAGUUGCGUUUCAUAAGUUGUGAAUUCAAUUUGCUUAUCUAUAUGAAUUAAAACUGAUUUGUGUGUGUUGGUUGAGAGUGCACGCUUAAUUUUCAUGCAUAAAUCUGAUGCUAGGAUAUAAAGGAAUUUCAUCUAAUCGUUAUGAACUUCUAUUCAUGAGUAGUAAAGGUUGCUAAUCACAAUCGCGUUAAGUAAAUUCUUGGCAUAAGUUUCAUGCAAUUCAUAGUAACAAGUGCCUCGUCAAUGCUUAUGAUUUUCAUAGAACUUAAUGAUCUUUGCUUGUAUCUCUAUUAUGCAAUUCAUGUGGGGAACUUGUGGGGAAUACUUUGGGUUGUCGUAUGCAAUCAUCCGAUUCAAUAACUUUAGGAAAAUCUGAGGGUUAAUUAGUGCAAUUCACGGUUGAUCUAGGAUGUUGAGAAUUCAUGGUUUAUUGAAAAACAAUUGGAAAUCCUUUUUGUAUGCAAGUGUGACAUGUGUGGAGAAGAACCUCCUAGCUAGCCAUUCAUCCAUCUAAUUUACCCAAUUUCGUCUAAAAUCUGUUUAAGUCUUUCUUGUUUUAUUUUACUUGAUUUUCGUCCAAAACCAAACCCCCCUUUACUUUAGAGUGUCUAACUAGUUAGAAUAUGUUUUAGAAUGUGUUUUUAAGUGUUUUGAGUCUAGGAAAACCCAAAAUUCGUCCAAAAGAAUGUUAGAGUUUAAAUCUGCCCAGUUUGUGUUUUUAGGCAGAUUUGAGUGUUUUGAGUUGUUUUAGUGUUUUAUAGUUUAGUUUUGCAUUCUUUGAGUUUAGUUUAGUGUUUUAAACUUUGUUUUACGUUUUUGAGUUAGUUUUAAGUGUUUUAGCAAUCCCUCAUAAUCCCCGGCCUAUAACGAUCCCUACUUAUAUACUUUGCUACAAUUGAUAAAAAUAGGGUUUAAUUUGUGUGCUUAUAUAUUUCGCAUCAAGUUGUAGUUGCCCUUCAUUGAUAAAGCUUUUGUUGGCACCAUAAAUUGGUGUUGCUUCACACUGUCUUGAUCAAGAGUGUGUGAAGCUUUUGAGAAUUGUGGUUGAACUCCUUUGAUGAAGCUUUUGUUGGCACCUUAAAUUGGUUUUGCUUCACACUGUCUUGAUCAAGAGUGUGUGAAGCUUUUGAGAAUUGUGUUUGCCUUCCAUUGAUGAAGCUCUUGUUGGCACCAUAAAUUGGUUUUGCUUCACAUUGUCUUGAUCAAGAGUGUGUGAAGCUUUUGAGAAUUGUGGUUGCCCUCCAUUGAUGAAGCUCUUGUUGGCACCAUAAAUUGGUUUUGCUUCACACUGUCUUGAUCAAGAUUGUGUGAAGUUUUUGAGAUUUGUGGUUGACCUCUUUUGAUGAAGCUCUUGUUGGCACCAUAAAUUAGUUUUGCUUUACACUGUCUUGAUCAAGAGUGUGUGAAGCUUUCUACCAGUUGUAGUGUUUGCAUUGUUACAGAGGAGAAAUGUCUAAAGCAGACGCAAGGGGGCUGAAUAGCUUGAUCUUCGUAUGCCAUGCAUUAAAGUUAUUGUUGGCUUGCAAUAAGACUUUGUUGGUGACUAUAACUCUUGUUAGGCAUAAGUGCUCCACUAGUUGAGUUGUCAAGCUUGAGGGUUUUUGAUUAUUUGUGAAUGCUAGGAGUUCACAUGUAUAAGUUGUACCACUCGUCUUCUGGUAGGUGGAAUGAAUGGUGAGUUGCUUUCAUCACUUGGUUGGUGGUACGAAGGUGAGUUCCUUCAUCACCUUUCAUCACAUUUCAUCACCUGGUUGAUGGCACGAAGAUGAGUUCCUUCUUUACCUGGUUGGUGGCAUGAAUGGUGUUGAUGCACAAAACCGGGAGGUCUUGGAACAACGUAAAUCCGACUGUGAAUCUGCAAGAAAGUAAAGAACACAAAAUGUAUCGUGGUUCACCCCAAUGUUUGGGCUACGUCCAUACUGAUAUUGUAUUUCUCUAUUUGUGAGAGGAUUGUGAGGGAGAAAGAGCUUUAUAAUGUGAGAGUGAGGCCUUUUGAUUGUGAGGGUGAUGAGUCCCUUUUAUAGACUAAAGGUCCUCAUUUAGUACAUAUUUUCCCCUUCAUUUAUUACAUAAUUACACUUGAGUCCCCCGAGUAUUUAUACAAGGUCUAAAUACAGAGGCCGUAAGUAUGGUACAAACAGUAGUCCCCAAGUCUUCAGUCAAGAGAGUCUUUUGGCUGGAGACUUGAAAUUCAGUCCCUGUGUAGGCCGAAGUAACUAGAUGUUGUCUAGAACUGAUACACGAUAUGAUGCGGUGCCUAAUCUAAAAUGAUGCUCAACUAGAAGUAGCACAUGUUGCGAGGCUGCUGGAUUUGUAGCUUAUGUUGUCUUGGUUGGCUCGGCUUGUGGUGUUGAAGGUGAGGGAGUCCUUUUUAUAGAAUAAGGGCUCGCUCCUCAAUACAUAAAUGAUGGGCUAGAGUUGAUGCUUGCGCGAGGUGGUUGCUUAGCAGGUGGCGAUGUUCUCUAAUGAUGGUGAGGGAGUCCCUUUUAUAGAAUAAGGGCUUGCUCCUCAAUACAUAAAUAAUGGGUUAGGAGUGAUGCUCGCGGUGAGGCGGUUACUCAGCUGGCGGUGAUGCUCUCUAAUGAUGGUGAGGGAGUCCUUUUAUAGAAUAAGGGCUCGCUUCUCAAUACAUAAUUGAUGGGAUAAGAGUUUCUCUCUAAUGAAGAUGAGUGAGUCCCUUUUAUAAAAUAAGGGUUGGCUCCUUAAUACAUAAAUAAUGAGCGUUCUCUAAUGAAAGUGAGGGAGUCCCUUUUAUAGAAUAAGGGCUCGCUCCUCAAUACAUAAGUGGUGGGCAAAGUUCCCCAAAUAUUUUUCAUGAGGCCUAGUUGCAGAAGCCCAAUAUAUGGUACAUAAUGUAGUCCCCCAAGUCUUCAGUCAAGAGAGUCUUUUGGCUGGAGACUUGAAAUUCAGUGCAUGUGUGGGCCGAAGUGGCGGUUGUUCGGAGGCGGUUUUUGAUACGAUGCACUGAAGCUUUGUAGGUGAAGCUUUGAACGUGAAACUUUGAAGCUGAAGCUUUUGUAAAUGAAGCUUUUGAAGCUGGAGCUUUGUAAAUGAAGCUUUCGAAGCUGAUUGACAUGAGUGAUGCUCAUGAAUGUUUAUGUUGAUUGACAUGAGUGAUGCUCAUGAAUGUUGACAUGUGUGAUGCUUAUGAAUGUUUAUGUAUGAUUUACAUGAGUGAUGCUUAUGAAUGUUUAUGUAUGAUUGACAUGAGUGAUGCUCAUGUAUAAUUUUGGAUUACUGGACGUACUUUUAAUCACCUAGUUGGUGAUAAUAGCGGCAAACAACUGAAUAGUUUUGGAGUACUGGACGUAUGUUUGAUCACCUAGGUGGUGAUAAUAGCAGCAGGCUACCAAAUAAUUUUGGAGUACUAGACGUACUUUUGAUCACUUGGUUGGUGAUAAUAGCGGCAGGGUGCCAAAUAAUUUUGGAGUACUGGGCGUACUUUUGAUCACCUGGUUGGUGAUAAUAGCGACAGGGUGCCGAAUAAAUUUGAAGUACUGGACGUACUUUUGAUCACUGGACGUAUUUUUGAUCACCUGGUUGGUGAUAAUAGCAGCAUGGCACCGAAUAAUUUUGGAGUACUGGACGUUUUGAUCACAUGGUUGGUGAUAAUAGCGGUAGGCUAUUGAAUAAUUUUGGAGUACUGGACGUACUUUUGAUCACCUGGUUGGUGAUAAGCAAAUGGGUGUCCGGUCAGACAAGAGAUCACCAUGAGCACGUGGCUCAUCAGUCUAUAAGUUGGUUGACUUCUUUAAUCAGCAACAAUGUUGAUCAGUGGAUCUAGUUGCUCAAUAAUUCCUGAUAAUAAAUGACAGUAUAAGUAUGACUGUAUAAUGAAUAACUCAAAUUGACAAAGUUUGUCAAGACAAAAAUAUUGUACUGUGUGCCUUAUGUGAAUAAAUGAUUUAUUCUGUUAUGUGAUAAAUGACAUGUUGCAUAAAUCAACAAUAUAUUAGGUAUUGCCUAAAUGUGUGUAUAUAUAUAUAUAUAUAUAUAUAUAUAUAUAUAUAUAUAUAUAUAUAUAUAAUCAUGAAUAAAUGAUUUAUUCAGUUGUUUGAUAAAUCCCAUGUUGUAUAAAUGAAUAACAUGGUAGUAAUCAUGUGAUAUCAGAAAUAAUAUUAUUUAAUCAUAAGUCAUCAUGACAUAAGAAUAAUAAAAUUAUUAUUUUAUAAUUAGUCACCAUGACACAAAUAAAAUAAUAAGAUAUUAAAUAAACAAUACGUACCUUCGUAUAUCUCUUAAUAAUGAAACCAUUCAAAAUAACAAGGAGGAUCUUGGAUCCACUUGUCUAAUUAAUGAUCACAAUUAAUAAACAAAAGAAUGUGUUAAAUUGUUAAUCAUGUGGUAGGCAGCUUUGCAAGCAACACCUUAGUCAUGAAAGGCUGCUAUUGGUAGGGGUCCCCUAAUACAACUUGUGCAAGCCAACUAUAAAUCCAUUCUCUCUCUCACUCGGUUCUAGCAAAUGUCACGUGAAAUUUACUAACUUUUGUAACGUUCCUUUUUUAUUGUGUUAAAAUAAUAAAAUUAUUAUAAUAAAACUUAUCUUUUUAGACGGAGUGGGCAUCAUUUAUAGAAUAAUUGAGGCAGACAAAAGAAAAGUAAAGCUGGCACCAUUUAUAGAAUAAUUGAGAAAUAACAUAAAGAAAUAUAAAGUUUCUGACAACCACUUAUCUUCUUCGUGGGUGUGGAAAUGAGUUCAACCAAAGGAGAGAAUGACAGUUCGAGCAUCUAUGACAGCGAUUUGGAGUUUCUAACAACCAGUCCGAGUGGAAGCAGUUUGGAUUGCAAAGAUUCGAUGAAUAAUCUUAAUGAGGGCAGUGGAAGCAAUUGUUCGGGAAAUGUUAGCAAAGAGGAUGCUGAUGAUGGGUGUCUAGAUGACUGGGAGGCUGUGGAUUUGUCCCAGUUAAUCUCGGUGUUGCCAACGGAGGCCGUCAUGGACAUCGCUCCAAAUCGAAAACCACUGGACAUUAUCUUUUGUUUCGCUGACCACUGGACAUUGAAGACGCGGAGAACCACCAAAAGAAUCAUGAAGCCGUACAAACCAUCUUGAUCAUCGUUCUCCACAAAAAAUCUUAUGGCAUCAUCAGCAGCUCCACUGGCUAUGAUAUUGUCCCUUGACCAAUGAACUGAAAAUAUUGUUUGGUCAUGAUAACCUGAAAACUACAAAGAUGUAGCCAAGGUACAAAGCCAUCAGCAUACAUCUUUGUAUUGUCUGAUCCCUAAAUCCUUAAAGUAAGAUCAUCACUGCAGGUAACCAUUUUGUCUCCACUGGCAUUAAACGAUAUAGCCCAGAUGGUAGAAGAGUGACCAUUGUUAGCUUCACCUAAUGUUUGAACACACGCCCAAUCAUCAUCGUUACCAUCAUCUGCCCAUAUCUUGAUAGUGUUAUCACCCGGCGUUGUGUUCGAGAUCAGAGGGCAUGCAAGGUGAGGUAGCAAAGUGGCAUCGUGUUCGAGAUCAAAGGAAUUGCAGAGACGGAGGAGAUGGGUGGGGGACUCCCUCACGCAAGUGCUGUACUCUGGUGUCGCAGGCGGUGAAGCAGCGGCGGAAGCGCUCAGAGACUAUGUCCAUGUUGGGGAGGUGGGGGACUUCGACGAUUGUGAGGUCGAGGUCGCCGUGCAGGUAGGUCACCCGCUCAACCAUCUUUUCGGCCAUUUUCAGAGGUCAGUGUACAAACCCGUAAUUUCGUAUACCAGAUUUGCUGGGUUUGCGGUGGGUGUGAAUAGUGACAAAAGCUGGGUUUAUGGGGGUUUGACGUUGCUUAUAGGCAGAGAAGGUGGGAGUUCUUUGCCAAUUGGGAAUUCAGGACCGAGUUGGGGUGUUUGGGAUUUCUGAUUUCUCUACGUUUUUUAGAGAUGGGUUUUGCAGUGACUCUGCAAGUGUUUGGUUCUUGGGUUUCUGCAGAUUCAUGGUGGAUAGUGUGGUGAGGCCUCACGGUGGUGAGAUGAAAAAAUGAAAAAGAACCGACAUAGCUUUCGUGUCGAUUCCCACAGACGACGCCAAAUAUUGAUGCACAAAAUCAAAAGGUCUUGGAACAACGUAAAUCCGACCGUGAAUCUGCAAGAAAGUAAAGAACACAAGAUGUAUCGUGGUUCACCCCAAUGUUUGGGCUACGUCUACACUGAUAUUGUCUUUCUCUGUUUGUGAGAGGAUUGUGAGGGAAAUAGAGCUUUGUAAUGUGAGAGUGAGACCUUUUGAUUGUGAGAGUGAGGAGUCCCUUUUAUAGACUAAGGGCUCCUCACUUAUUACAUAUUUUCCCCUUCAUUUAUUACAUAAUUACACUUGAGUACCCCGAGUGUUUAUACAAGGUCUAAAUACGGAGGCUAUGGUACAAACAAAUGGCAAGUUGCCAAAUGAUAUUAGAGUAUGUGUUAUACAUUUCAUCACAUGGUUGAUGGCAUGAAGGAAAGUACAGGUUGUACAUUUCAUCACCUGGUUAGUGGCAUGAAGAUGAGUUCCUUCUUCACAUUUCAUCACCUGGUUGGUGAGAAUAAGGGCAAGGUGUCGAGGCACAUUGUAGCAAGUGUCGAAUGACACAAAGUAUGUUGAACCCUUUCAAAGCAUAGCUGGCUUAUGUAUGAAUGUGUUGGAAUGUAUGAUUGAACAAAUAUACUGUGAAGUUGUUCAUUUUUUUGUAUAGUUUUGUUGACAUAUACUUAGACUUUGUUUCAUGUUGGAAUCAUUCAUGUUGAAGAUUUGAACCCGAGUGUUUCAUUGCUAGGAAUGUAAGAGGAUUAGGACUGAGUUGUCUAAAUCACCUCUUUAUUGAAUUCAUGCCAAAUAAUAUUCGUUACAUAUGAUCCCGAACGGCUAAAGCUUAACACUUGUACAAUGUGAGUUUACUUGUAAUAGUAGUUCAAGUGAUCAGCGUUCCAUGGAUGGCCAAGGGUUUUGCUAUCAGAGCUUUUAAGCUUGUAGGAGCCAACUGAUGCCAACAACUUCAAACGGUCCAUCCUAGUUUGGAUUAAGUGUUCCUUCACUCGGGACUCUGUCACAGAGUAAUCUUUUCUUCAAUACCCAGUCCCCCACUUUGAAAGAAUGAGGUUUGACCCUUGAGUCAUAGUAGUUGGAGAUGCGCUGCUUGUAGGUGACAUUUCUUAAGUGAGCCUGGUUUCUGUGUUCCUCAACUAGAUCUAAGUUGAGGGUAAGUUGUUUGUCACUUUCGCUUUGCACGUAGUUCUGGACUCGGAACGUUGUUUGCUCAAGCUCAACUAGGACAACUGCCUCUGUACCAAAGGCAAGUAAGAAUGAGGUUUCUCCUGUUGACGUCCGAUACAAAGUGCGGUAUGACUAAAGAACUUGGGGUACAAAUUCUGGCCAACAACCUUUACCUUGUCCAAGCUGGUUUUCAAAGUUCACUUGAUUAUUUUGUUGAUGGCUUCAACUUGUCCAUUAGAUUGGGGAUGAGCUAGGGAGGUAAAACAUAAGUUGAUGUUAAACUUAGAGCAGAACAUCCUGAACUUAUUGUUGUCGAACUGUCUCCCAUUAUCAGUGACAAUCACAUUGGGAAUGCCGAAUCUGCAAAUGAUGUUCUUCCAUACGAAGUCUUUUAUUUUUACCUCAGUAAUGGUUGCCAAGGGUUCUAUUUCGGCCCGCUUUCUGAAGUAGUCAACUGCAACAAUUGCAUAUUGAACCUUGCCAUUCCCUGCAGGCAUUGGACCAAUCAAAUCAAGUCCCCAUUGGGCGAAGGGCCAAGGGCUGAUCAUAGGAGUGAUGAAUAGUUGCGUAGCGUUGACAUGUAUCACAUGAGCAGGAUAUUCUGAUGGCAUCUUGGUGGAGUGUUGGCCAGUAAUAUCCUUGGCGAAAAACCUUGUGCUAGGGAUCGAGAUCUAGCAUGAUCUCUGCAAACUCUUUCAUGUAUUUCCCGAAGGACAAUUUCCGCCUUCGCGGGCGUAAGGCAUUUUAGGUAUGGUAGGUAAAAAAUCCAUCUUUGUAGAGUUGGUCAUUAAUGAUCAAGUAACGGGUAACCUUGUAUCGAAUCUGCUUAGCUUGGACUUUAUCAUUUGGGAGGGUGCCAUGUGCAAGGAAUUUAUAAAUCAGGAUAAUACAACUAUCCCCUUGUUGUAAGUUGUACAUUUCCACGGCUAUGGUGCUUGGUCCUGCCAACAAUUCGACCUGAAUUUUUCUCCCAAUUUUGUCCUCCACUGCUGAGCUGAGGCGAGCCAAUGCGUCUGUAUGACUGUUUGUCGCUCGAGGAACUUGGGUGAUCUGGUAGUGGAAUUGCUUGAGCAAUAAUUGUGUUUGUGCCAGAUAUGCUGCCAUGGAGCUAUCCUUAGUGUCAAAGUUGUUGGUGACCUGGUUAACCACCAAUUGGGAGUCACUGAAGAUAUCAAUUCGUUUAACCCCAAGGUGUUUGGGCAAAUGUAAGCCUGCUAGGAGGGCUUCAUAUUCGGCCUCAUUGUUCGACGCCUUGAAUUUGAAACGAGGAGCAUACUUCAUCGCCACUUUGUCGGGGGUCGUAAGGACUAGUCAUGCUCCAUAACCCUGUUGGUUGGACGAGCCAUCAACAUAUAGACUCCCUGCUGGGGCUGUUGGUUCUAUUUUCUGAGCUUCUGAGGGUAAUGAAACCACUUCUUUAGGCACAGAAACAAUGUCAACAAAAUAUGUGAAGUCGGCGAUGAAGUCUGCCACUGCUUGGCCCUUCUCAGCUGGCUUUGGUUGGUAUGAGAUGUCAAACUCACCCAAUGCUAUCACCCAUUUGAUCAUUUGGCCUAAAGUGUCAAGACUUUGGAGUAUCUGUCGAAGAUGAUGAUUAAUAAGCACGAUGAUGAAGUGUGCUUGGAAGUAAGGGCGAAGUUUUCGAGCAGACAUGACCAAUGCUAAAGCCAAUUUCUCAAUGUUAGAGUAUCGUGUCUCAACAUCUUGUAAGGCCUUACUAGCGUAGUAGACAGACCGUUCGACAUUACCAUCUAUUUAUACCAUACUUGACCAAUCCCGAAAUUACUAAGCACCGGUUAACGUUAUACUGUCAAAGACCCAUAAGAGUUUCCCUCUAACCAGGAGGCCAAUGACAGUGCAACACGUGUCGACAUCAGAAGCCAAUCAUAGCGCGACACAUGUCAACAUCAGAAGCUAAUCACAACACGACACGUGUCAAUGUUAGAAUGAAACUAGAAACUCUAUUUUAUAAAUAGAGAUCAUUCUCUAACAAUAUUUCCUAAUGUAAUUUGUACUACAUCAUUCACUAGUACUCACUAAAGGAGAGCUUAAACUUAUGUAUUUGUGUAACCCUUCACAAUUAAUGAGAACUCAUCUACUCCAUGGACGUAACCAAUCUGGGUGAACCACGUACAUCUUGUGUUUGCUUCCCUGUCCUUAUCCAUUUACUUACUUAUCCACACUAGUGAUCAGAGCAAUCUAGCGAAGGUCACAAACUUAACACUUUAUGUUGUACCAAAGUCCUCACUGAUUUUGUUCAUCAACAUUUGGCGCCGUCUGUGGGAACGACACUUAUUCCCACUCUCUUCAGCUUUGUCAAGCUGGUUUCCACCAUUUGUACACUCUCUUUUGACCAGGCAUCCAUCUCCAACAUGGGGAGCGAAGGAAGCUGCAGCACACAUAAUGACACCUCUCUUGCACCUAGUGCGAAGCAAUGAAAGAAGGAAGGAAAAAGGGUUGCUCUUCAAGCUAAAGUCGAUGAGCUAGAAGCUUAGAACAACAAGAUAGCAAUGAAGAAUGACGUCCUCCAGGAGCAGUAUGAGAAGCUCUUUGAGACGCUCCACGAAACUAGGCGUACACAAACAUGUGAGCUCGUUACCCCUGUGAACAUCAAUCAUCACCUGGGUGCCCCCUAACACGGAGGGUCACCUUCCUUCGACAUAGGUAUCCCUGAUGAGAAGCAAGCUAAUCAUCAAAACAUUGAUCAAUAUGAGACUUCUCUCAACCUAGCUGCUUCGACCCGAAGCAGGAGAAGUGGAGGAAGACACUUUCUUGCAGAAGGGUUGGAAGGAUCGAAAGCCGUUUAUCGUGAUUGCCGAGACUUCCUAAAGCAACGUCGAGAUAAUCCCCUCCACAUAUGCUCGAAGAUCAAUGAACUAAGGGUUUCUAAAAAAUUGGUCCCCUCCCACGACCCAGGCCAGCUGCUAAUCUAGGGAAGAAACGACAGGUCCUAGAGGAACAUGAAGGUACAGGGGACUCUGAGGUAUUCCGACAGACUCGCCCUAGAAGUCAGUACGGCGAGUCCAAGGAAAAAUCACACGCCCUUGCUCAAACUUUCCUAUUUCCAAGAGGUGAUGGAGACUUACGAAAGAAAAUCCCAAUGGUACAUGACUCCACUCAAGGCCCCCUUGUCCUACAGCUUCUUGAGGAAGUAAAUAAGUUGAAGGCCGAACGUCAGGCCGAGAUACCUGACUGAAACCAACCCAGGCCUGGCCCUCUCACAAGGAGGAUCCUCGACACCCCCUUCAAGCGAAGACAAAACAAAAGCUUGGUUUACAACUCUAUACUGGAAGGGAGGACCCAAUUGAACACCUUAACCUCUUUGAGUCCACCAUGGCAUAUCAGAUGCACACCGACGAAGAACGAUGUCUUCUUUUCCCCUCCACCCUCUCUGGCGGAGCUCUAAACUGGUAUUGCCGUCUUUCACUUAAGACAGUAGACUUAUUUGAGGAGCUAAGGAAAUAGUUCAUCUCUUAACACAUCUUCUAGACCGAUCGCUUGCAUUUUGCAGAUGACUUGUACACUAUUCACCAGAAGCCGGACGUGUCACUACGAGAGUAUGCUGGUCGUUUCAGCCAUGAGUAUUCUCGCUGCGCUGAGGCAGAUGACAAGACCACCCUUAAGGCCUUCACGGCAGGCCUACGUGAUUGUUUCUUCAAGUACAUGAUCAAUGCCAACACUUGGAAGACUUACUUUGAGGUGAUGGCACAGGCUUACAACCAUGCCUCCGCCGAGGCAAGGACAUAUCAAGGGAAACCCCCCACAACCACCCCUUAUCAGCAAGUAGGGAGUGGAAGCCAGAUCCAACCAAAUGAGAAGACAUCGACCUUCCAAACGGCAACGGUGCCUCCCCCUGCCUUACUUAAUACUUUGUCAAGUUAACAGACAUAUCAAUCUCAAGGUAAAAGGAAAGAUUUCCAUCCUCACCAGUCUCAUUUUAGUAAAAGGAGUAAGGGACACUAUCGCGAUAACGAAAGGUAUCGCCAUGAUAAUCCCCGACCCUAGGCAGUCAACACAGUAGGUCAAGCACGUGUCAGGACAGCCCCUACCUCGAGGUAUGAGGCAUACAAUCCUUUGAACGCCACAUGUGUGUCCAUUUACCCCAGCAUAACACACUUGAUACCGAAGCCAAAGCUGAGGCACCCGGAUUACAAGCCCACGAAGAACACGGGCACGUUUUGUUGCUACCACGAGCAUAACGGCCAUGACGGCGAGAAGUGUAUCACCCUUCGUGAUCAUAUUAAAGCUUUGGCACGUGAAGGAAAAAUUGAUAAAUUCCCCCUUUACCCUCCAAGGGGUAACCAUAACCAACGCCAGGUAAAUGUGAUAUAUUCCAUAAGUGGUGGCACACCCAUAUCUAAAUCUUCCAACAGGGCUAUGAAAAAUAGUGAAUGAGCUUUAAGGUCUGAUCACCAAGUGUUUCAUGUGGAAGACAUCAGGGGAACUAAGUAUCAAAAGCCUAACUCGGAUCCAAUAUGUUUCUACCCUAAGGAAGAAAGAGGUAUCAUCUACCCUCACAACGACCCACUGAUCGUGGAAGCUCACAUAACCAACUUUGAAGUACGACGAAUCCUGGUAGACACAGGGGCUUCGGUCAAUAUCAUGUUUGCUGAAGCUUUCAGGGCACUUAAUAUAGCUGAACACUUGCUCGACCGCUCGAUUUCCCCUCUGAUAAGCUUCUCCGGUGAUAUCGUGCAACCUUUGGGGAGCAUACACUUACUUUUCACCAUUGGUACAUGCCCUUACACAGCUACCAUUACCACUAACUUCCUGGUGGUUGAUUGCCUAACGGCAUACAAUGUCAUCUUCGGACACAUAUGCAUCAAUGAUCUCAAGGCCAUGAUAUCCACACAUAUGUUGUUGAUGAAAUUUCCAACCCCCUAUGGUAAUGGUUACAUCAAAAGAGACCAACUUAGUGCACGAUCAUGUUACAACACUUCGGUCAAGCAACAACACCUGUCUGUGCCCAAGGAAACCCUUUCUAUACAUGACCAAGUCAUAAAGACCAGCCCAGAUGAAGCCAACUUGGAUCUUCACAGUGGGAACAGUCAACCAGACGAUCCUCGAGAUGACUUUUUCACCCAGCAAGCACAACCUGCUGAAGAGUUGGAGAAGGUCUCUAUCUCAAAAGAUUAUCCGGAUCGCAUGGUGAAGAUUGGUACCACCUUGUCACCACCCAUUCGGUUGGCAUUGAUCUCUUUUUUGCAAGAGAACACUGAGGUCUUCGCUUGGUCAUACGAGGACAUGCCAGGCAUCUCUCCCGAUAUAAUCUGUCAUCGUUUAAGUAUUGACCCCAAGACCAAACCAGUGAGACAGAAGCGAAGAUCUUAUGACGCUGAACGGUACGAGGCAAUGAAGGCAGAAGUUGAAAAACUCAAAACCAUAAGCUUCGUCCGCGAAGUCAAUUAUCCAAUGUGGGUAGCAAAUGUUGUCCUUGUUAAGAAGAAUCCGACCAAGGAAAGUCUCCUGCUCCAAAAGGUCUUGUGGAGAAUGUGUGUCGAUUACACCGACCUAAACAAUUGAUGCCCAAAGGAUAGCUUUCCUCUUCCUCUCAUAGACAGACUUAUAGACUCUACGACAGGGUGUGAACUUCUGAGCUUCAUGGAUGCUUACUCAGGAUACAACCAAAUUUUCAUGAACCCUCCAGACCAAGAACACACAACCUUCACUACUGACAAGGGACUAUAUUGCUAUAAAGUCAUGCCAUUCGGCCUAAAGAAUGCAGGAGCAACUUAUCAGAGAUUGGUCAAUUCAAUGUUUGCCGAACAGAUUGGGAAUAUCAUGGAAGUUUACGUUGAUGAUAUACUAGUUAAGAGCAAACAUGCUGACCAACACAUCACCAACCUAUCUGAAACUUUCACCAUUCUGAAGAGGUAUCGAAUGAGGUUGAACCUCAACAAAUGUGCCUUUGGCGUAGGCUCUGGCAAAUUCUUAGUCUUCAUGAUAAGCCAACGAGGCAUUGAGGCUAAUCCCGAGAAGAUCAAAGCAAUCCUCGACAUGAAGGAACCGGUAACUUCAAAAGACAUUCAGAGCCUUACUAGCAAGGGGGCAGCCUUAACUAGGUCAAUCUCUAAGGCCAUCGACAGAUGUGCUUCUUUCUUCAAAGCACUUAAGGGAAGUAAGAAGUACAUUACAUGGACUGAUGAAUGUGCUGAGGCAUUCAAGAACCUCAAAGACUACAUGAGUAAAUCCCAUUUCCUCUCCAAACCUAAGGUUGGUGACACUCUCAUUAUCUAUCUGUCGGUAUCGGCUUCAGCAGUAAGUUCCGUUCUCAUUCGAAAUGAUGGUAAUGUCGAACGGCCUGUCUACUACGCUAGCAAGGCCUUACAAGAUGCGGAGACACGAUACUCCAACAUUGAGAAAUUGGCUCUAGCAUUGGUCAUGUCUGCUCGAAAACUUCGCCCUUACUUCCAAGCACACUCCAUCAUCGUGCUUACCAAUCAUCCUCUUCGACAGAUACUCCAAAUUCCUGACACUUCCGGGCGAAUGAUCAAAUGGGCGAUAGCAUUGGGUGAGUUUGACAUCUCCUACCAACCAAAGCCAGCUGAAAAAGGCCAAGCAGUGGCAAACUUCAUCGCCGACUUCACAUAUCAUGUUAACAUUGUUUCUACGCCUAAAGAAGUGGUUUCAUUACCCUCGGAAGCUUAUAAAAGAGAACCAACAGCCCCAGCAUGGAGUUUAUAUGUUGAUGGCUCGUCCAACCAACAAGGUUGUGGAGCAGGACUAGUCCUUACGACCCCUGACAAAGUGGCGAUGAAAUAUGCUCUUCGUUUUAAAUUCAAGGUGUCAAACAAUGAGGCCGAAUAUGAAGCCCUCCUAGCAGGCUUACGUUUGGCCAAACACCUUAGGGUUAAACAAAUUGAUAUCUUCAGUAACUCCCAAUUGGUGGUUAACCAAGUCACCAACAACUUUGACGCUAAGGAUAACUCCAUGACAGCAUAUCUGGCACAAACACAAUUGUUGCUCAAACACUUCCACUACAGAUCACCCAAAUUCCUCGAGCGGCAAACAGUCAUGCAAAUGCUUUGUCUCGCCUUGCCUCAGCAGUGGAAGACAAGAUUGGGAGAAAAAUUCAGAUCGAAUUGUUGGCAGCACCAAGCAUCAUGGCUGCGGAAGUGUGCAACUUACAACAAGAAGAUAGUUGGAUUACCCCGAUUUAUGGAUUCCUUGCUCAUGGCACCCUUCCAAAUGACAAAGUCCAAGCUAAGCAGAUUCGAUACAAGGCUACUCGUUACUUGAUCAUUAAUGACCAACUCUACAAGCGGGGUUUUGACUUACCAUACCUAAGAUGCCUCGUAGAUGUGGAAACUGUCAUUCGGGAAAUACAUGAAGGAGUCUGUGGAGAUCAUGCUGGAUCUCGAUCCCUAGCACACAAGGCUUUUCACCAAGGAUGUUACCAGCCAACACUCCACCAAGAUGCUAUCAGAAUAUCCCGCUCAUGUGAUAAGUGUCAACGCUACGCAACUAUUCCUCACUCUCCUCCUGAGCCACUCACUCCUAUGAUCAGCCCUUGGCCCUUGGCCCAAUGGGGACUUGAUUUGAUAGGCCCAAUGCCUGCAAGGAAGGGCAAGGUUCGCUAUGCAAUCGUUGCAGUUGAUUACUUCACAAAGUGGGCCGAAGUAGAACCCUUGGCAACCAUUACUGAAGCAAAAAUAAAAGACUUCGUAUGGAAGAACAGAUUCGGCAUUCCCAAUGCGAUAGUCACUGACAACGGGCGACAGUUCGACAACAAUAAGUUCAUGAUGUUCUGCUUUAAGUUCAACAUCAACUUAUGUUUUGCCUCCCCAGCUCAUCCCCAGUUUAAUGGACAAGUUGAAGCCAUCAACAAAAUAAUCAAGUGAACUUUGAAAACCAGCUUGGGCAAGGCUAAUGGUUGUUGGCCAGAAUUUGUACCCCAAGUUCUUUGGUCAUACUGCACUUCAUAUCGGACAUCAACAAGAGAAACCCCAUUCUCACUUGCCUUUGGUACAGAGGCAGUUGUCCCAGUUGAGCUUGAGCAAACAACGUUCCGAGACCAGAACUACGUGCAAAGCGAAAAUGACAAACAACUUACCCUCAACUUAGAUCUAGUCGAGGAACACAUAAACCAGGCUCAUUUGAGGAAUGUUGCCUACAAGCAGCGCAUCUCCAUCUACUAUGACUCAAGGGUCAAACCUUGUUCUUUCAAAGUGGAGGACUGCGUAUUGAAGAAAAGAUUACUCUGCGACAGAGUCCCGAGUGAAGGAACACUUAGUCCAAACUGGGAUGGACCGUUUGAAGUUGUUGGCAUCAGUCGCCCUGGCUCCUACAAGCUUAGAAGCUUCGAUGGUAAGACCCUUGGCCAUCCAUGAAACGCUGAUCACUUGAAGUACUAUUACAAGUAAACUCACAUUGUACAAGUGUUAAGCUUCAGUCGUUCGGCAUCCUAUGUAACGAAGACUAUUUGGCAUGAAUUCAAUAAAGAGGUGAUUUAGACAACUUGAUCCUAAUCCUCUUACAUUCCUAGUAAUGAAACACUUGGGUUCAAAGCUUCAACAUGAAUGCUUCCAACAUGAAACAAAGCCUAAGUAUAUGUCAACAAGACUAUACAAAUAAAUGAACAGCUUCACAGUAUAUUCGUUCAAUCAUACAUUCCAACACAUUCAUACAUAAGCCAAUUGUCCUUUGUAAAGGUUCAACAUAUUUUGUGUCAUUUGACACUUGCUACAAUAUUACUAGACACCUUGCCCUUAUUCUCACCAACCAGGUGAUGAAAUGUGAAGAAGGAACUCAUCUUCAUGCCACCAACCAGGUGAUGAAAUGUACAACCUGUACUCUCUUUCAUACCACCAACCAGGUGAUGAAAUGUACAACCCGUACUCUAAUAUCAUUUGGCAACUUGCCACUCAUGCCACCAACCAGGUGAAGAAGGAACUCAUUUUCAUGCCACCAACCAGGUGAUGAAAUGUAUAACCCGUACUCUCCUUCAUGCCACCAAACAGGUGAUGAAAUGUACAACUCGUACUCUCAUUCAUGCCACCAACCAGGUGAUGAAAUGCAAAACCAAUUUAUGGUGCCAACAAGAGCUUCAUCAAUGGAGGGCAACCACAAUUCUCAAAGGCUUCACACACUCUUGAUCAAGACAGUGUGAAGCAAAACCAAUUUAUGGUGCCAACAAGAGCUUCAUCAAUGGAGGGCAACCACAAUUCUCAAAAGGUUCACACACUUUUGAUCAAGACAAUGUGAAGCAAAACCAAUUUAUGGUGCCAACAAGAGCUUCAUCAAUGGAGGGCAACCAUAAUUCUCAGAAGCUUCACACACUCUUGAUUAAGACAGUGUGAAGCAAAACCAAUUUAUGAUGCCAACAAGACCUUCAUCAAAGGAGUUCAACCAUAAUUAUCAAAAGCUUCACACACUCUUGAUUAAGACAGUGUGAAGCAAAACCAAUUUAUGGUGCCAACAAGAGCUUCAUCAAUGGAGGGUAACCACAAUUCUCAAAAGCUUCACACACUCUUGAUCAAGACAGUGUGAAGCAAAACCAAUUUAUGGUGCCAACAAAAGCUUCAUCAAAGGAGUUCAACCAUAAUUCUCAAAAGCAUCACACACUCUUGAUCACGACAGUGUGAAGCAAAACCAAUUUAUGGUGCCAACAAAAGCUUCAUCAAUGGAGGGCAACUACAAUUCUCAGACUUUCGAAGCAAAUUAAAUUAUAUGGUUCAUCCAAACCUUCGACCACUACAAGAUGUGGCUUGCAUCACAAUCUCUUGCUUAACAGUGUGGAAGCAAAAUUUGUAUAUGUUGUCUCUUUCACAUUCUCAAAUUUCUAGUUUCCCAAAAAAAAAAAAAAAAGAAGGGAAAUUCAACAAAGCUUCAUCAAUGGAGGACAACUACAAAUUCUCAAAAGCUUCACAUUAUCUUGAUCAAGAUAGUGUGAAGCAAAAUCAAUUCAUGAUACCCAACAAAAGCUUCAACUCCAAAGCUUCACCUACAAAGCUUCAACUCCAAAGCUUCACCAACAAAAGCUUCAUCAAUGGAGGACAACAACAAAUUCUCAAAAGCUUCACACUAUCUUCAUCAAGAUAGUGUGAAGCAAAAUCAAUUCAUGGUACCCAACAAAAGCUUGACCUACAAAAGCUUGACCCACAAAAGCUUGACCUACAAAAGCUUGACCUACAAAAGCUUGACCCAUAAAAGCUUGACCUACAAAAGCUUCACAUACAAAAGCUUCACACUAUCUUGAUUAAGAUAGUGUGAAGCAAAAUCAAUUCAUGGUGCCCAACAAAGCUUGACCUACAAAAGCUUCACUCACAAAAGCUUCACCCAUAAAAGUUUGACCCACAAAAGCUUCACCUACAAAAGCUUGACCCACAAUAGCUUCACCUACAAAAGCUUGACCCACAAAAGCUUGACCCAUAAAAGCUUGACCUACAAAAGCUUCACCUACAAAAGCUUCACACUAACUUGAUCAAGAUAGUGUGAAGUAAAAUCAAUUCAUGGUGCCCAACAAAGCUUCACCCACAAAAGCUUGACCCAUAAAAGCUUGAUCCACAAAAGCUUCACCUACAAAAGUUUGGCCCACAAAAACUUGACCCAUAAAAGCUUGACCUACAAAAGCUUGACCUACAAAAGCUUCACACUAUCUUGAUCAAGAUAGUGUGAAGCAAAAUCAAUUCAUGGUGCCCAACAAAGCUUGACCUACAAAAGCUUCACCCACAAAAUCUUGACCCAUAAAAGCUUCACCCACAAAAGCUUCACCUAUAAAAGCUUGACCCACAAAAGCUUCACUUACAAAAGCUUGACCCACAAAAUCUUCACCUACAAAACUUCAACACAAAAGCUUCACCUACAAAAGCUUCACACUAUCUUGAUCAAGAUAGUGUGAAGCAAAAUCAAUUCAUGGUGCCCAACAAAGCUUCAACCUCAAAGCUUCACCUACAAAGUUUCAACACCAAAGCUUCACCUACAAAGUUUAAAAAAAAAAAAUAUAUAUAUAUAUAUAAAUUUUUUUUUUUGGAAAUCGAAAAUUCAAAAAUUCGGAAAUUCAAAAAAUUUGGAAAUUAAAAAAAAAAUUCGAAAAAAAAAAAAACAAAUUUGCCUAGGCCUCCUCUUCUUUGGGCUUAACAACUUUAAUAACAAAUAUAUAUGAAGAAGGAGUUUUGGGCUACCACUUAGAAAGGAAAUGCCUCAUUCGUGAACUUCCUCGACCAGAGACUUGGGGGACUCCUACCAUAUGCUACUGCACCUUGAUACUCGGAAGUCUCACGACCACUCAGUGACUUGGAUUUUUCAAAUCUGCAAAUGAGAAGUUUUCCUCACUCGGGAAAUUAAGGGAGCACUACCUCAACCUACAUGCUUCACUCACAAAGCUUCAACAUACAAGCUCCAACAAAAGGAAAAAUUCAAAGAACUUAGUGAAGAAGGCCUUGGUGUAUUUAACACAAUACGUUGAAAUAAAGCAAAGCUUGUUUAUUGAUAUCUCCGAUAAGUUACAAAUAUGUACAUAUACAUGAAUAAAAAUAAACAAAUAAGAGGGAGCCUUCACAAAGGUUGCUCAGGAGAAGUCUCAGCAGUCGGCAGAGCCCUAGAUUGAGGAGGCACCAGAGGGUGAUUAUUCGGAGCCUCAGUACUAGGCAGAACCCCAGAAGGAGGAGGCACCGAAGGUUGAUCAUUUGGAGCUUCAUUAAACGGUACAGCCCUAGAGGACGAAGGCAAUAAAUGCCUUUGGAACAAACCCACAAACCUCUGAUGAUCAAGCAAAAUCUGACCAUCAGGUUCCUGUAGCUGGUCAAGCUUCCUUUUCAUGUUUGUAGGCCGCCAAUGAUUCAACUUGGCGGGUUCGAGCAAAUAGGCGUUGGGCCAUAUUAGACACAGAACCUGCACACUGAACACUGAACACUAUCUUCAACAUCUUAUGCUUCCAGAGACGAUACCACAUCUACCUGAGGAACAGAUAGAGCAAGUGAGAAGGAUACAAGGAAGCAUGUGGAGACAAGCAUAACAAAACACAUGCCAAUACAUCCACUACUUUGUCAAAAGCAAAAGUAUCCCAUAUCAUCACGGUCGAACGUACUCUAGAUUUGAUGGACUUGUUUUGACUCUCAAAUUCUUGAGUCAGCCUUAUACUCUGGAGGAAACCAGAAAACCCUCCAGCCCAGUUCAAGAAUAAGCCUGUGGAAAGUUACUUCUUCAAAAGCAAAAGUAUCUCAUAUCAUCUCUUCUCCAUUUGCUUCUCCUUAUCCUUGUUACUGUUUACGACACAAGGAGAAGGAGAACAAUCAACCGGAAGCCGAAGUCGAACCUCCGAUCCAAGUUGCUUGCUUGGAAGUCUGAUUGCUUACCUUGUUGUUACCUCUUUCGGUAAAUCUCCUAGCUCGGCGACUUGGGGGACUCCUACUAUAGGGUUUUGUAUCGCACUUGACCAAGCCCAAAACUACAAGUAAGCUUCAAGUGAAAUUGAUACAUUACCUUGUGCAUCUUCAUCGAUUAAAGAGACCACCCCUGGAUGGAGGAAAAGUACUUCCAGAGAAGAUACCAUAUCUACAUAUGAGACAGAUAAGGCAAGCGAAAAUGAUACCACACUUCGGUACUUAGAAGUUUCGUGAUUACUCAAUGGCUUGGAUCUUAGAAGUCCCCAACCGAGGAGCUUCACUCACUCGGGAACUUAGGGAGCACUGUUUGUACCAUACUUAACCAAUCUCGAAACUACUGAGCACCGGUCAACGUUAUACUGUCAAAGACACAAAAGAGUUUCCCUCCAACCAGGAGGACAAAACUUACUGCUGAAGCUGAUACCGAUAGAUAGAUAAUGAGAGUGUCACCAACCUCAGGUUUAGAUAGCAGAGAGGCUUUACUCAUGUAGUCCUUGAGGUUCAUGAAUGCCUCGGCACAUUCAUCAGUCCAUGUAAUGUACUUCUUACUUCCCUUAAGUGCUUUGAAGAAAUAAGCACAUCUGUUUGUGGCCUUAGAUAUGAACCUAGUUAAGGUGGCCACCUUUCCAGUAAGGCUCUGUAUGUCUUUUGAAGUUACUGGUUCCUUCAUGUCGAGGAUUACUUUGAUCUUCUCGGGAUUAGCCUCAAUGCCUCAUUGGUUUAUCAUGAAACUUAAGAAUUUGCCAAAGCCUACGUCGAAGGCACAUUUGUUGGGGUUCAACCUCAUUCGAUACCUCUUCAGGAUGGUGAAAGUUUUAGAUAGGUUGGUGAUGUGUUGGUUAGCAUAUUUGCUCUUGAAUAGCAUAUCAUCAACGUAAACUUCCAUGCCCUUCCCAAUCUGUUCAGCGAACAUUGAAUUGACUAGUCUCUGAUAAGUCGCUCCUGCAUUCUUUAGGCCGAAGGGCAUGACUUUAUAGCAAUAUAGCCCCCUAUCAGUAGUGAAGGCUGUGUGUUCUUAGUCCGGAGAGUUCAUGAGGAUUUGGUUGUAUCCUGAGUAAGCGUCCAUGAAGCUCAGGAGUUCAUACCCUGCCGUAGAGUUUAUAAGUCUGUCUAUGAGAGGAAGAGAAAAACUAUCCUUCGGGCAUCCUUUGUUUAGGUCAAUGUAAUCAACACACAUUCUCCACAAGACCUUUUGGAGCAGGAGACUUUCCUUGGUCGGAUUCUUCUUAACAAGGACAACAUUUGCUACCCACGUUGGAUAAUUAACUUCGCGGAUGAAGCCUAUGCCUUUGAGUUUUUCAACUUCUGCCUUUAUUGCCUCGUACCAUUUAGCGUCAUAAGAUCUUCGCUUCUGUCUCACUGGUUUGGUCUUGGGGUUAAUACUUAAGCGAUGACAGAUGAUAUCGAGAGAGAUGUCUAGCAUGUCCUCGUAUGACCAUGCGAAGACCUUAGUGUUCUCUUGCAAAAAAGAGAUCAAUGUCAAUCGAAUGGGUGGUGACAAGGUGGUGCCAAUCUUUACCAUGCGAUAUGGAUAAUAUUUUGAGAUAGAAACCUUCUCUAACUCUUCAGCGGGUUGUGCUUAUUGGGUGAAAGAAUCGUCUCGAUGAUCGUCGGGUUGACUAUUGCCACUGUGAAGAUCUCAGUUGGCUUCGUUGGGCAGGUCUUUAUGACUUGGUUAUGUAUAGAAAGGGUUUCCUUGGGCAUAAGUAGGUGUUGUUGCUUGACCGAAGUGUUGUAACAUGAUCGUGCACUAAGUUGAUCUCCUCUGAUGUAACCAUUGCCAUAGGGGGUUGGAAAUUUCAUCAACAACAUAUGUGUGUAUACCAUGGCCUUAAGAUCAUUGAUACCUGUGCGUCUGAAGAUGACAUUGUAUGCCGUUGGGCAAUCAACCACCAGGAAGUUAGUGGUAAUGGUAGCUAUGCAAGGGCAUGUACCGAUGGUGAAAGGUAAGUGUAUGCUCCCUAAAGGUUGCACGAUAUCACCAGAAAAGCUUAUCAGAGGAGAAAUUGAGCGAUCGAGCAAGUAUUCAGCUACAUUAAGUACCCUGAAAGCUUCAACAAACAUGAUAUUGACCGAAGCCCCCGUGUCUACCAGGAUUCGUCGUACUUCAAAGUUAGCUAUGUGAGCUUCCACGAUCAGUGGGUCGUUCUGAGGGUAGAUGAUACCUCUUUCUUCCUCAGGGUAGAAACAUAUUGGAUCCCAGUUAGGCUUUUGAUACUUGCCUCCCCUGAUGUCUUCCACGUGAAACACUUGGUGGCUAGGCCUUAAAGCUCGUUCGCUAUUUUGCAUAGCCUUGUUAGAAGAUUUAGAUAUGGGUGUGCCACCACUUAUGGAAUAUAUCACAUUCACCUGGCUUUGGUUAUGGUUACCCCUUGGAGGGUGAAGGAGGAAUUGAUCAAUUUUUCCUUCACAUGACAAAGCUUCAAUAUGAUCAUGAAGGGUGAUACACUUCUCGCCGUCAUGGUCGUUAUGCUCGUGGUAGCAGCAAAAUGUGCCCGUGUUCUUCGUGGCUUGUAAUCCGGGUGCCUCGGCUUUGGUUUCGGUAUCAAAUGUGCUAUGCUGGGGUAAAUGGCCACACAUAUGGCGUUCAAAAGUGUGUAUGCCUCAUACCUCAGGGUAGGGCAUGUCCUGACACGUGCUAGACCCACUAUGUUGACUACCUGGGGUCGAGGAUUAUCGUGGCGAUACCCUUGGUUAUCACGGUAGUGUCCCUUGCUCCUUUCACUAAAAUGAGACUGGUGAGGAUGGAAAUCUUUCCUUUUGCCCUGAGAUUGAUAUGUCUGUUGACUUGGCAAAGUAUUAAGUAAGGCAGGGGGAGGCACCGCUGCCGUUUGGAAGGUUGAGGUCUUCUUAUUUGGGUGGGUCUGGCUUCCACUUCCCACUUGUUAAUAGGGGAAGGUUGUUGAGGGUUUCUCUUGGUAUGUCAUUGCCUUAACGGAGGCAUUGUUAUAAGCAUGUGCCAUCACCUCAGAGUAAGUCUUCCAAUUAUGUACUUAAAGAAACAGUCACGUAGGGCUUGCCGUGAAGGCUUUGAAGGCAGUCUUGUCAUUUGCCUCGGCACAACGGGAAUACUCAUGGCUGAAACGGCCAGCAUACUUACGUAAUAACUCGUCUGGCUUAUGGUGAAUAGUGUACAAGUCAUCCGUAAAGUGCAAGCGAUCGGUCUGGAAAAUGUGUUGAGAAACAAAAUGUUUCCUCAAUUCCUCAAAUGAGUCUCCCGUCUCAGAUGGAAGACGGCAAUGCCAGUUUAGAGCUCCACCAGAGAGGGUAGAGGGAAGAGAAGACAUCGCUCUUCGUUGGUGUGCAUCUGGUAUGCCAUGGUGGACUCAAAAGGUUAAGGUGUUCAAUUGGGUCCUCCUUUCCAGUAUAGAGUUGCAACCCAAGCUUCUGCUUUGUCUUUGCUUAGAGAGGGGUGUCGAGGAUCCUCCUUGUAAGAGGGCCAGGCCUAGGUGGUUUCAAUUAGGUAUCUUAACUUGUCGUUCGGCCUUCAACUUGUUUACUUCCUUAAAUAGUUGUAGGACAAGAGGGUCUUGAGUGGAGUCAUGUACCACUGGAGCUUUCUUUCGUAAAUCUCUAUCUCCUCUUGGAAGUAGGAAGGUUUGAUCAAGAGCAUGUGAUUUUUCCCUGGACACGCCGUACUGACUUCCAAGGUAUAUUUGUCGAAACAUCUCUGAGUCCCCUAUACCUUUGUGUUUCUCUAGGACUUAUUGCCCCUUCCUCAAAUUGGUAGCUGGCUUAGGACAUGGGAGAUGACCGAGUCUUUUAUAGACCCUUGGGUCAUUGAUCUUUUAACUUACAUGGAUGAGAUUGUCUCGACGUUGAUUUAGGAAGUCUCGACAGUCACGAAAGACGACUUUCGAUCCUUCCACUCCUUCUGUAAGGAGGUGCCUUCCUCCACUCAUCCUGCUUCAGGUCGAAGCAGCUGGGUUAAGAGAAGUCUCAUGUUGGUUGCCAUUUCGAUGAGUAGCUCGCUCCUCAACAGGAAUACCCAUGUCGAGGGCAAAUGACCCUUCGUGUUAGGGGGCACCCAGUUGAUGGUUGACUUCCACAUGGGUGAUGAGCUCGUGUGUUUUAAUAUAUCUAGCCUCGUGGAGCAUCUCAAAAAGCUUCUUAUACUGCUCUUGGAGGAUCUCAUUCUUCAUCGUUAUCUUGUUGUUCUGAGCCUCUAACUCAUCAACUUUAGCCUGAAGAGCAAAUUUCUUUUGUUCCUUCUUUCGUUGUUUCGCACCAGGUGCAAGAGGGGUGUCAUUUUGUGUGCUAUGGCUUCAUUCGCUCCCUAUGUUGGAAAGGGAUGUCUGGUCAAAAUAGAGUGUACGAAUAGUGGAAACCAGCUUAACAAAGCUGAAAAGAGUGGGAAUAAGUGUUGUUCCCACAGAUGGCGCCAAAUGUUGAUGUACAAAAUCAGUGAGGACUUUGGUACAACAGAAAAUGUUAAGUUUGUGACCUUCGCUAGAUUGCUCCGGCUAAUAGUGUGAAUAAUUAUGUAAAUGGAUAGAGACAGGGAAGCAAACACAAGAUAUACAUGGUUAACCCAAAUUGGCUACGUCCAUGGAGUAUAAGAGUUCUCAUUAAUUGUGAAGGGUUUACCCAAGUACAUAGGUUCAAGCUCUCAUUUAGUGAGUUCUAGUGAAUGAUUUAGUACAAAUGACAUUAGGUAAUAUUGUGGGAGAAUGAUCUCCUUUUAUAGAAGAGAGUUUCUAGCUUUGUUUUGACAUUGACACGUGUCGUGUUGUGAUUGGCUUCCGAUGUUGACACGUGUCGCGUUGCGAUUGGCCUCUUGGUU
This 39232-nucleotide long non-coding RNA is filed under the name Malus domestica (apple). Its description in RNAcentral is "long non-coding RNA (MDOM_LNC016257)". Lineage: Eukaryota; Viridiplantae; Streptophyta; Magnoliopsida; Rosales; Rosaceae. The record is from RNAcentral.